UGGGGAAUAUUGCACAAUGGGCGCAAGCCUGAUGCAGCCAUGCCGCGUGUGUGAAGAAGGCCUUCGGGUUGUAAACACUUUCAGCGAGGAGGAAGGUGGUGAACUUAAUACGUUCAUCAAUUGACGUUACUCGCAGAAGAAGCACCGGCUAACUCCGUGCCAGCAGCCGCGGUAAUACGGAGGGUGCAAGCGUUAAUCGGAAUUACUGGGCGUAAAGCGCACGCAGGCGGUUUGUUAAGUCAGAUGUGAAAUCCCCGGGCUCAACCUGGGAACUGCAUUUGAAACUGGCAAGCUAGAGUCUCGUAGAGGGGGGUAGAAUUCCAGGUGUAGCGGUGAAAUGCGUAGAGAUCUGGAGGAAUACCGGUGGCGAAGGCGGCCCCCUGGACGAAGACUGACGCUCAGGUGCGAAAGCGUGGGGAGCAAACAGGAUUAGAUACCCCUGGUAGUCCACGCUGUAAAACGAUGUCGAUUUUGGAGGUUGUGCCCUUGAGGCGUGGCUUCCGGAGCUAACGCGUUAAAUCGACCGCCUGGGGAGUACGGCCGCAAGGUUAAAACUCAAAGGAAUUGACGGGGUC
This 575-nucleotide ribosomal RNA is filed under the name uncultured bacterium. RNAcentral's name for it is "partial 16S ribosomal RNA". It matches the Rfam family "Bacterial small subunit ribosomal RNA", at positions 355 to 920 of the family's 1533-position model. The record is from RNAcentral.